Molecule: non-coding RNA, 56 nt
Organism: Triticum aestivum (bread wheat)
Lineage: Eukaryota; Viridiplantae; Streptophyta; Magnoliopsida; Poales; Poaceae
Source: Rfam
GCUCAGUUGGUAAAGCACAAGGCUUUUAACCUUGUGGACGUGGAUUCAAGCCCCAU